Molecule: long non-coding RNA, 204 nt
Filed under: Nicotiana benthamiana
Lineage: Eukaryota; Viridiplantae; Streptophyta; Magnoliopsida; Solanales; Solanaceae
Description: long non-coding RNA (NBEN_LNC003417)
Source: RNAcentral
GUCCCUCUUGACGAUGACCUAAGAUCCAAUCAUCACGUCCCUGCCUACUUCGCUCGGCUCGGCGCUAAACUUGCACUCCAUGUAUUUUGUCUUAGAUCUGCUUAUUUUGAAACCUUUAGAUUCGAGAGUCUGUCUCCAUACCUCUAACCUCUCAAUAACACUGACCCUUGUCUCAUCUAUCAAGACUAUGUCAUCAGCAAAUAG